UCAGCAUGCACAAUACCAGGACCUCUCCUAAGUGGAAUGCAGCCAUCAUUAAUGGUUUGGAAUACACCUGUGCUUUUCGUACUAUGACAUGUCAACAUGUCUGCCGUGAAAAAGGCAUGGAAAAAGGUCUAUACGUCCAUGGCCAGCCACCUUUGUCGGCAUUUUUCGGACCACUUAGUAUACGGUGGCUAGGUAGUUUUGCUCCUCGGCCACCGUAUGCUAAUUGGUCCAAACUGUAGCAGUAACGUUAGUUCAAGUUCGUUUCAAGUUUUAAAUGUAAAGUUAAUGAAAUAAAGGUGGUUGUACUUUUUCUUCAAACGAUGAGCAGCUUUUGGUAUGGUUUUGCUGGAGGAAAUGUCAUGAAGAAGCUGUUUGAGGCUCUCCAGGGUGGUGGCCUCUCGCUGAUCCUCAUACUCCUGUGGCGUCACCUGCUGGCAGAAGCUUGGUACCCACUGGUUCAAACACCUUGGCCUCCAUCAGAGCCUGGCAGAGUCGAGCAGCUUUGAGGCGAGACACUUCACUUGUGCAAAACACCACAUUCUGCAU
Molecule: long non-coding RNA, 546 nt
Organism: Perca fluviatilis (European perch)
Lineage: Eukaryota; Metazoa; Chordata; Actinopteri; Perciformes; Percidae
Exons: 3
Source: RefSeq, a predicted model, not a curated record